RNAcentral lists this ribosomal RNA (1509 nucleotides) under Helicobacter pylori. RNAcentral describes it as "bacterial SSU rRNA". It matches the Rfam family "Bacterial small subunit ribosomal RNA". The record is from RNAcentral. Lineage: Bacteria; Pseudomonadati; Campylobacterota; Epsilonproteobacteria; Campylobacterales; Helicobacteraceae.
UUUAUGGAGAGUUUGAUCCUGGCUCAGAGUGAACGCUGGCGGCGUGCCUAAUACAUGCAAGUCGAACGAUGAAGCUUCUAGCUUGCUAGAGUGCUGAUUAGUGGCGCACGGGUGAGUAACGCAUAGGUUAUGUGCCUCUUAGUUUGGGAUAGCCAUUGGAAACGAUGAUUAAUACCAGAUACUCCCUACGGGGGAAAGAUUUAUCGCUAAGAGAUCAGCCUAUGUCCUAUCAGCUUGUUGGUAAGGUAAUGGCUUACCAAGGCUAUGACGGGUAUCCGGCCUGAGAGGGUGAACGGACACACUGGAACUGAGACACGGUCCAGACUCCUACGGGAGGCAGCAGUAGGGAAUAUUGCUCAAUGGGGGAAACCCUGAAGCAGCAACGCCGCGUGGAGGAUGAAGGUUUUAGGGUUGUAAACUCCUUUUGUUAGAGAAGAUAAUGACGGUAUCUAACGAAUAAGCACCGGCUAACUCCGUGCCAGCAGCCGCGGUAAUACGGAGGGUGCAAGCGUUACUCGGAAUCACUGGGCGUAAAGAGCGCGUAGGCGGGAUAGUCAGUCAGGUGUGAAAUCCUAUGGCUUAACCAUAGAACUGCAUUUGAAACUACUAUUCUAGAGUGUGGGAGAGGUAGGUGGAAUUCUUGGUGUAGGGGUAAAAUCCGUAGAGAUCAAGAGGAAUACUCAUUGCGAAGGCGACCUGCUGGAACAUUACUGACGCUGAUUGCGCGAAAGCGUGGGGAGCAAACAGGAUUAGAUACCCUGGUAGUCCACGCCCUAAACGAUGGAUGCUAGUUGUUGGAGGGCUUAGUCUCUCCAGUAAUGCAGCUAACGCAUUAAGCAUCCCGCCUGGGGAGUACGGUCGCAAGAUUAAAACUCAAAGGAAUAGACGGGGACCCGCACAAGCGGUGGAGCAUGUGGUUUAAUUCGAAGAUACACGAAGAACCUUACCUAGGCUUGACAUUGAGAGAAUCCGCUAGAAAUAGUGGAGUGUCUGGCUUGCUAGACCUUGAAAACAGGUGCUGCACGGCUGUCGUCAGCUCGUGUCGUGAGAUGUUGGGUUAAGUCCCGCAACGAGCGCAACCCCCUUUCUUAGUUGCUAACAGGUUAUGCUGAGAACUCUAAGGAUACUGCCUCCGUAAGGAGGAGGAAGGUGGGGACGACGUCAAGUCAUCAUGGCCCUUACGCCUAGGGCUACACACGUGCUACAAUGGGGUGCACAAAGAGAAGCAAUACUGCGAAGUGGAGCCAAUCUUCAAAACACCUCUCAGUUCGGAUUGUAGGCUGCAACUCGCCUGCAUGAAGCUGGAAUCGCUAGUAAUCGCAAAUCAGCCAUGUUGCGGUGAAUACGUUCCCGGGUCUUGUACUCACCGCCCGUCACACCAUGGGAGUUGUGUUUGCCUUAAGUCAGGAUGCUAAAUUGGCUACUGCCCACGGCACACACAGCGACUGGGGUGAAGUCGUAACAAGGUAACCGUAGGUGAACCUGCGGUUGGAUCACCUCCUUUCUAGA